Molecule: ribosomal RNA, 440 nt
Filed under: uncultured bacterium
Lineage: Bacteria
Description: partial 16S ribosomal RNA
Rfam family: Bacterial small subunit ribosomal RNA
Source: RNAcentral
CCUACGGGGGGCAGCAGUGGGGAAUAUUGCACAAUGGGGGGAACCCUGAUGCAGCGACGCCGCGUGGGUGAGGACGUACUUCGGUAUGUAAAGCUCUAUCAGCAGGGAAGAAAAUGACGGUAGCUGACUAAGAAGCCCCGGCUAACUACGUGCCAGCAGCCGCGGUAAUACGUAGGGGGCAAGCGUUAUCCGGAUUUACUGGGUGUAAAGGGUGCGUAGACGGGGUGCCAAGUCAGAGGUGAAAGGCCUGGGCUCAACCCAUGGACUGCAUUGGAAACUGGAAGUCUGGAGUGACGGAGGGGCAGGCGGAAUGCCCAGUGUAGCGAUGAAAUGCGUAGAGAUUGGGAGGAACACCGGUGGCGAAGGCGGCUUGCUGGACGUUAACUGACGUUGAGGCUCGAAAGCGUGGGGAGCAAACAGGAUUAGAUACCCGAGUAGUC